GGGCUGUUAGCUCAGUUGGUAGAGCAGCUGACUCUUAAUCAGCGGGUCGAGGGUUCGAACCCCCCACAGCCCA
RNAcentral lists this transfer RNA (73 nucleotides) under Carnobacterium divergens. RNAcentral's name for it is "tRNA-Lys". It matches the Rfam family "tRNA". From Rfam's summary of the family: Transfer RNA (tRNA) molecules are approximately 80 nucleotides in length. The record is from RNAcentral. RNAcentral also lists the same sequence under 5 other names. Lineage: Bacteria; Bacillati; Bacillota; Bacilli; Lactobacillales; Carnobacteriaceae.